UACGGAGGGGACUAGCGUUGUCCGGAUUUAUUGGGCGUAAAGAGCUCGUAGGCGGUCUGUCGCGUCUGUUGUGAAAACUCGAGGCUCAACCUCGGGCUUGCAGUGGAUACGGGCAGACUAGAGUGCGGUAGGGGAGACUGGAAUUCCUGGUGUAGCGGUGGAAUGCGCAGAUAUCAGGAGGAACACCGAUGGCGAAGGCAGGUCUCUGGGCCGCAACUGACGCUGAGGAGCGAAAGCAUGGGGAGCGAACAGG
RNAcentral lists this ribosomal RNA (253 nucleotides) under uncultured bacterium. RNAcentral describes it as "partial 16S ribosomal RNA". It matches the Rfam family "Bacterial small subunit ribosomal RNA", at positions 524 to 776 of the family's 1533-position model. The record is from RNAcentral.